Podarcis raffonei (Aeolian wall lizard) is the source of this 2574-nucleotide RNA transcript. RefSeq lists it as uncharacterized. The record is from RefSeq and is a predicted model, not a curated record. NCBI's taxonomy places the organism in Eukaryota, Metazoa, Chordata, Lepidosauria, Squamata, Lacertidae. The transcript has 19 exons.
CCUCCCCCAUAAUCAACUGCUUUUAAAAAACAAUCCGGUCCAUUUCUAUGGUGGUGGUGCUUGGGGUCUUUGAAGGAUGGGAGGCAAUAAACCCUUUUGACAAAAGUGCUACUCCUCUCUCCCCUCAGCAUCCCAACCACAGCUUCUCUGGAUGCGACUGAUCUUCCUCCUGAAAGCGUCACUGAGGACCAGCUGAAGGACAGACUUACGGAUGUGGUCACAAUGAUGAAGAAUGGGAAGAUCCGAAGGAAGGCGCUCCGAUAUCUUUCUGCCCUCCUGCAGAAGAUCCAGGAAUAUCCUUCGGAAGCGCUUCCUGCAUCCUCCCUUGGCCAACUGGUGGCUAUUACCUCGGUGUGCGCACUGGAUCCGGACCUGGAGUGCAGGCAGCAGGCAGCAGAGGCCCUCUGCCAUCUUCUGCCCAUUCUGCAGCGCAACGAAGAGACACUGGCAGGAACGUUAAGCAACCAAAUACUUAUCACCAGAGCUGAGAAGGUCCUCAAAUCCCCCGGAGGACCGGUUCCUGAAUUGUUCGUGAAUAAUUGUUACCAUCUUGCCAGGGUCUUUGGCGCCUUUCUCCCUGCGGAGCAGCUCUUGGAGGCCAUGUGCUUCCUGGCCAGAGACCUGGUUGUCGAGAGCAGCUUCAACCCACUGGAUAUCUCCCACUUACUUCAAGAAUUCAUCAAGCAGUUUGGCGGCACAAAAGUGGAGGUGAAGGUGCUGCUGGAGGCCCUCUAUAAGAUCGCCCAGGGGCCUAUGGUGCAAGGCAGAGACGUGGCCGUCUUCUUGUUGUCCAUCUUGUCGCACCACCACCUGGCGAAAGUGGUGCAAUAUCUCCUCCAGUUUCCCUUCGGAGACUGUGAGAGAGUUUGGAAGGAGGUUUUAGCAUCGGCCGAACCAGAAAAGUUGAUCCAUCUCAUGGCCAAGCAGAUUUACCAAAGCCCCUUGGCGGAAUCUGCCACCAAAGUGCAACAUCUCACCAGCCUGUUGCACGCCAUCCUCAGGAUGGAGGACUACAAGGCAGCUGUGCGCCAGAAUUUCCCACAGCUGCUGAUUGCUCUCCUGGGGAUGGUUAUGAACUUCCACUACGACCAGGAAUUCCUCGGAGGGGCUAAGGAAGUUCUGCACCUCCUUCUUGGCACCACUGGAGAACAAGUGGAGGCGGCCAUCGUUGACCAACUUUUCUGCCGGGAGACUUUCAGCCAGGGGUUGUCUGCCAUGGUGAGAGCUGUCGGAAAGCGAAGCUGGUGGAUCCCUCCCAUGGUGGAAAAUAUCAUCGCUGCUCUCGAUGACCAGGAGUUUGCCGGAAUGCCACAAGUCGCGGCAGCUAUCUACAUCGAGCUGCUCAGCUGCCGUCUGGAGGUCUAUCCCUGUGAGGAUACACUGGAGCAGCUCCUCAACUGGCUGGAACAUGACUACCUGCAAGUCCGGAAGCUCAGCAUCAGAGGGAUAUCCCUGCUUCUGGACUCUGACAUGGACCCUUCGCUUCUGCGGCUAUUGCUGCUGAAACCCCUCACUUCUGCAGAAGCUGAUGUCCUCCCAGAGUUGAUAGAGCUGGUAAACCAAGCCUACCAUUCUAGGGAGCUGGAAGAGAAAGACCUGAAGAUGCUGGCAGAAACCUACUGCGGUCUGGCUGCCCAUGAGGAAGCCUCCGUCCGGGCAUCAGCCAUCCAACAUCUGGGGCUGCUUCGGGGCUGGGUGAGAGACCAAAGGCUUCCCUUUACAACAACAGAAGAGGAAGCCAUUCACGAACUGGUUGUGGUCCUCAUUCACCUCGCAGAUGAGGACGAAGUGGCCAAGGCCGCAAGGAGGGCUCUUUCCCAUCUAGCCCCAGAAGUCAAGUGGUGGGCUCAUCCCAACAAAUUUAGCCUCCACUUUGCUCUCCACCAGGCUGCCAAGCAUCUGAGCAAGACCUUCAGCAAGGACAUCCUUCGGAGUGCUGCCUUAUCAUGUACGAAGCCAUCUGCCAACAGGCUGCCAGCAGUCUCCAGGGUGGCAGCUCUGCUUCUGGGUCAUCUGGCUUUCCGGGAUGCCAGUUUCAUCCACAAUCAAGACAUGGCAUCCUAUGGAAAAUGGCUGGAAAAGAUGCAGCAGCACGAGGAAGAAGGGCUCAGGCAGACAGGGAGGAGCUGCCUGAACAUCAUGCAGCGGGCCUAUAAACAUUGGAAGAAAGGCAGGGUCCAGCGCUUUUUGAGGAGGAUGCUCCACUGCGUUCACAGGGAACCUUACCCACAGGACUUCCUGAGCUGCAUGCCAGAACAUCCGGAGUAGCGCCAGGCCAAGGCAAUGCGGACACCAGAGUUGUGCUGCAGAGAUACCAUCUUCUGCUCUCCGCAGGAUCCAGUCUGGACCAGCGCCAGGAACAUCACCGCCAUCAGAAUCGACCAAGAGGAGUGGUGCUGCCCUCACGACCCUCCGUACACAGCGGUCAAGAUGCACAUCAGGGUUAACAUCAACUUCAUCGUGAUCAAGGAACUCCAUGGGUUCAAGGAGACCAAGGAUAUCAACAACUCCUCUUUCUGUGCUGAGGUCCCUACAGGUCUGAUACUCAUCACAAGCCACUAUCAAGUCAUCAAC